UACAGGGGGGGCAAGCGUUGUUCGGAAUUACUGGGCGUAAAGGGCUCGUAGGCGGCCAACUAAGUCACACGUGAAAUCCCCAGGCUUAACCUGGGAACUGCGUGUGAUACUGGAUGGCUUGAAUUCGGGAGAGGGAUGCAGAAUUCCAGGUGUAGCGGUGAAAUGCGUAGAUACUGGGAGGAACACCAGUGGCGAAGGCGGCUACCUGGACCGGUUCUGACGCUGAGGCGCGAAAGCGUGGGUAGCAAACAGG
This 253-nucleotide ribosomal RNA is filed under the name uncultured bacterium. RNAcentral's name for it is "partial 16S ribosomal RNA". It matches the Rfam family "Bacterial small subunit ribosomal RNA", at positions 524 to 776 of the family's 1533-position model. The record is from RNAcentral.